Molecule: long non-coding RNA, 1323 nt
Filed under: Marmota monax (woodchuck)
Lineage: Eukaryota; Metazoa; Chordata; Mammalia; Rodentia; Sciuridae
Source: RNAcentral
GGGAAGUUGCAAGAAGGGGCUUGGAGAGGCCCAUGCAGUGGGGAACAACAGUGGGCAUGCUCAGCACCAUGAGGAUUGAGCGGGAAGUCAGGGGAGCCAUCUCUGAAAGGGAGAGUAGUAAGUCAGGCUCCCAGAGCCUCCUGAUCUUACUCAGAGACAGGAAGGGCAAAGAGACCCAGAGCAGAGAGACUGCAGGCAGACAGUGCCAGGACCCAGAUGUACCCAGUGGCCAUGCCCCAAGCUCCUCCUGGCUGCUAUGGUCCCAGGAAAGAAGCUAUGAAAAAUCUCCUGCAGGCAGACUGUGAACACUGCCUUGGGACUGGCUGCUUCUUCCACAUGCUACCAGGCAGCGGGUCCCCAAGUUCUGGCUUUUAUGAUGCAGGUUAUUGAGGACAAAGCUGGAGCAAAAUGAUAGUAUUUGGAGUUAUGAUCUGCUGAAAGAGUUUUGGGGGACAGAAGCCACUUUCCCUGUCUUGGAGGUGCUAGCUGGGGAGGCAAGUGUGUCGAUGCACAGUGACAGAAGCUUGCACACAAUUAGGCAGGGGUUGGAGUCAUCUAGAAUGGUAAAGAAGGCAGAAAGGAGGUGCUGAAUCUCACAGGGUAAGGCAGGGGUAUGCAGACAGAAAAUGGAAUAUAGCAUUUCACAGUUCCUGGCCUAGGGGUCUGGACUCCACCCACCAGCAUGGGACCUUGAGUGAAUCACCCACCUCUCCAGCCUGCAGGGUGCUUAUCUGUGAAAGGGGGCUGGCCCAAAGCCCUUCGGCUUUCUAGGACACAACCCCAGUGACCCACCUCCUCCAACCAUGUCCCGUCUACAGUUACCACUCAGUCAAACUAGGAUGGGCCGAUUAGGAUACAGCUCUCAUAACCUAACCAUCUCACCUCUGAAUAUUCCUGCAUUAACACAGGAGCUUCUGAGGACACCUCAUAUCCAAACCAAGCGGAUGCUUCAAAAAUAGGAACUAUCAUUAUUUCUAACAGCAGUCCAAAUCUGCAGGUGACUGCCUGUCUGUGUGACAUGGUCAGGUCUUUCAAGUACGGGAAAAGGGGUCUUUGGUGAGUGGUUCCAUCCUGUUCCAACAGCAGGUGAGGGGCAGAGGGAGGCAGGAGGAGGGAGGGUUCAAAGAAUGCAGCAACAACGUUAGUGAGAGGAACCGGGGCCUGAUGCCUGGAUUUGAAUCUGGAUCUGCUGAGAACUGCCUGGGGACCCUGGGCCUGUUGUUUACCUUCUCUGAGCCUCAAUGUUGUCAACUGUAAAAUGUGGAUGAACCCCUCCCUCCCUCCCAGGCUUGCUGUGAAGACAGCAGAUAAUGCACAAAGGGC